RNAcentral lists this ribosomal RNA (2181 nucleotides) under Triticum aestivum (bread wheat). RNAcentral's name for it is "partial small subunit ribosomal RNA". The record is from RNAcentral. Lineage: Eukaryota; Viridiplantae; Streptophyta; Magnoliopsida; Poales; Poaceae.
AUGACAUUUGAAGGACUCGAGGCUGUGGAGAAGUUCUACAAGGAAUAUGCGCAUCAAUCAGGUUUUGGUGUUCGCAUUGGACAACAAAAAAAGAUUGAUAAUAAGGUGGUCCGUACUAAGCGUUUCAUGUGUAAUAGGGAAGGAUUCAAGGCAAAAGAUAGUAAAGAGACUAAUGACCCCUUGAGGAAAAGGCGUAAGCAGAUAGAUACGCGAUGCGGUUGUGAUGCCCAUAUCUUUGUUAGACUUUGUGGGGAGAACACCUACAAGAUAGACUCACUGAUUGAGCACCAUGUUCAUGGCCUUGUAUCGCCUAAUAAGCGUCAUUUGAUCAGAUCAAAUCGUAGAGUUAGUGAGAGGGCAAAAAAUACUUUAUACACAUGUCAUAAGGCAAGUAUUGGAACGUCGCAGGCAUACAGGCUCCUGCAAGUUAGUGAGGGUGGAAUUCCGAAUGCUGGGUGCACAAAGAGGGACUUGCAGAAUUACUACCGCGGACUCAGGUAUAAAAUCAGAGAUGCAGAUGCUCAAAUGUUUGUGGCCCAAUUAGCUAGAAAGCAGGAAGUGAAUUCAGCAUUUUUCUAUGAUUUUGAGGUGAAUGAUGAGGGGGAGUUGGUGCGUGUGUUCUGGGCGGAUGCCACCAGUAGGAAGAAUUAUAGUCACUUUGGUGAUGUGAUAUCCUUCGAUUCUACAUACACCACUAAUAAGUAUAACAUGAUAUUUGCACCAUUUACAGGGGUUAAUCAUCACUUACAAAGUGUCUUUUUUGGUGCUGCAUUCUUAUCAAAUGAGAAGGAUGAGUCAUACAUUUGGUUAUUUCAGACCUUCCUAACAGCAAUGGGAGGGGCAACACCUAGACUCAUCAUAACCGAUGACGCCACUAGCAUCAAGAAUGGUAUUGAUAAAGUUCUUCCAACAACUGUGCAUAGGUUGUGCAUGUGGCAUAUAAUGGAAAAGGUUCCUGAAAAGGUUGGACCUUCGAUUAGAGAAGAUUCUGAUUUUUGGACAAGAUUGAACUCGUGUGUUUGGGGUUCGGAAACUUCAACUGAGUUUGAGUCACAAUGGAAUUCCAUCAUUACUGAUUUUGGGUUGGAGGAAAAUGAGUGGUUGGCCAAGAGGUUUAGCAUUCGAGACACAUGGAUACCAGCGUACUUUAUGGAUAUAUCUCUAGCAGGCAUUCUUCGAACCACUUCAAGAUCAGAAAGUGCAAAUUCUUUUUUUAACCGCUUCAUUCAUCGAAGGCUCGCUUUUGUUGAGUUUUGGCUGAGGUUUGACACAACUUUAGAAUGCCAACGUGAGGAAGAAUUAAUGGCAGACAACAGAAGCAUACAUACCACCCCUCAACUAUUUACACCAUGGACAAUGGAGAAACAAGGUAGUGAGGUAUUCACAUAUGAGGUGUUCGAGAAACUUCAGCUACAGAUUAUUGCUGCUAGAGACCAUUGUUUUGUUCAGAGUAUUACACAAGGUGUGGGGGUAAAAAAUGUGACCCUGAGAGGUCGGUCUGGUAAAGUUAGGGAGGUUUGCUAUGACACUACAAGCAUGACAGCAAACUGUUCGUGCAAGUUGUUUGAGUCAGUCGGUUUUCCAUGUCGCCAUAUUAUCCAAGUGUUGAGGAUUGAAAACCAAAAUGAGCUUCCCAGCCACUACAUUAUGAAAAGAUGGCAGAAGAGGUGCAAAAGGGAGAAUGUUUAUGAUGAACAGGGAAACCUACUAGAAGAAAAACCCACGGAUGCACUGGAUGCGGCCACGAGAAAGAAGAUUUCAACUGUACGCAAUAAGAUGGAAGAACUUAUUCAAAAGGCGAAGCAUUCAGAUGAAGGCAUGGACUUCUUAACAUCAAGUGUUUUGAACAUUGAGGCGCCUUUGGACCAAAUGGUCCCUGCAGCUACCCAAAGCACUAGGCAAGAGGAAUAUGAGGCUUUUAUUGGUUGCAAUAUUCCAACCGAAGUUCAUAUACAUCCGCCAAUGGAUGUUCGUACCGUGGGAAGAUGCAAAAGAAUAAAGCAAGGAAAAGAGAUUAAGGAGGGGGAUCGGAAAAAUAAGGACAAAGAAAGGAAGGUAAAGGUCGCACGCUUGUGCAAGACGUGCAAGCAAAUGGUGUUUCAUGAUAGUCGUAAUUGUCCAAGCAAAAAAGGGAAAGGGAGUGUGAUUGUGCAAGAUAUGCAGCCAAAUAGUGCUUCCUGA